This 247-nucleotide unclassified non-coding RNA is filed under the name Melitaea cinxia (Glanville fritillary). RNAcentral describes it as "misc RNA ENSMCXG00005020512.1". Lineage: Eukaryota; Metazoa; Arthropoda; Insecta; Lepidoptera; Nymphalidae. The record is from RNAcentral.
AGUGUGUACCGAGGUCCAUCAGCAGUUGUAUGACUCUCAUGCUAGUGUACCGCCAAUGAAGCACGAUAGGAAAACCUAAAAAGACCAAAGAGGAAGUUAAAGAAAAUAGAAGGCUUGCCGCGCGACAAUGCCGAGAACGAAUUAAAAAUGCCCCUUUUUGUAUUAGCAAUAAAAAAAAAUAAAGGAGAAAGAAGGGUACAGUAAAAAAAAUAAAAAAAUACUGCCUAUCUGCGAAAUGUCACCAAAA